GUCGGAUACGGAUUUUAGAUGUCUAACCCGUUUAAACUGUUUAACCCGUUUAACUGUUGGGCAGGUUAAACAGGUCUAAACAGGUUAAACAGGUUGGGUUGGGCAGGUUAAACAGGAUUGGGCAGAUUAAACAGGUCUAAACAGGUUAAACGGGUCGGGUUGGGCAAAUAGGUUAAAAAAAGUCGGGUCGGGUUGGGCAAACAGGUUACCUGUUUAUUAAACAGGUUAAACGGAUCGGGUUAGGUUACCUGUUUAUUUAACAUGACAGGUUUAGGUUGUAAUUUCUGACCCGUUUAGUAAACAGGUCGGGUUCAGGUUUAUGAUUUUCUGACUCGACUUGCAUGUGAUCCGACUCGAUGCGAUUGCCACCUCUACUUAGCCUUUCUUCAAUGCCCACGGUCAUCACUCAUCUCUAGAAAUGGAGGAGGCUGGAUGAUAGUUUUGAAAAUAGAAUUGUGCAUGUAUGAAAGGAGGGAAGUUAGAAAAGAGAAAAAAUACGCAGAAAUCUGUAGAAAACAGCAUAGAAAAAAACACUGUUCACAUGAAUAGUAAUCCGACCUGUGACUGUUCACAGAACAGUAACCUGACCUGGUUACUAUUCAUGAAACAGUAACUCAGAUUAUAAAAGAGAGGACAACAGCCAAAAAAAUAAAAAGACAAGGAGAAGAAAUCCUAGAAAGGUGAGUGCCACCAUGGGCGAAGCCCUGAGAGACUCUUUUCUUCCACUUUCAUCUUGCUUCUUGACCUAUUAUCUUCUUGGAGCCACUUUCUUAACCCCGUCAUCCUUCAUCUCGAUACUUUGGUGGAGCACGGCCUAAAAAUUUUCAUUGGAUUGGAGGGACCAAACUCGCAGAGGUAAUUAUCUGACUAGUUCUAUCACCAUUUUUUUGCCCAUCCCUUAUUUCUUCGACCAUCAAUCAUUAUCUCCACCCAUCAUCAUUACCAUCGUUGCCAUCUAUCACAUCCUUGGAACCCGAGAUUACUGGCAAUAUUUAUUUUAUUGUUUUAUUGUAGUUAUUUUCAGUUUGCUGCACUAGUUAUAUUUCAUUAAUUAGACUUCGUUAAUUAUCUAUCUAUCAUGUUCUGUUUUGUAUUCACAUACCUCUAUGAUGAUCUUUUGGGAUGAGUAUUUGCUGAAGUAUCUAAUCAAUCGCACUAUAAUUGAUUAUUAUGAAAUCAAUCUACACCUGUAAUAAUCGAUUAUAGGUUGCACCAAAGUGGUAUCAGAGCUAAUAGGUCCUGCAUAUUUAAAAAUCUUUAUUAUUAUUUUUGCAUCAUAACAUCCAUUUUUUCUGCACUUUAAAUUCUAAAAAUUAAAUUUCUGCGCUUCAAAAUAGAGAAAUAUAUUUUCUGAAUUAAAAAAAGUAAAUUAUAUUUUCUGCAUUUAAAACUACAUAAAUUUUAAUUUUUGGAGUUAAAAAUACAAAAAAAUUAGUUUCUGCAUUUAAAAAAAUUCUGCUUUCAUUUUCCGCAUUUAAAAACUAAAAAAAUAUUUCUGUAUUAAAAUAUUACUUUCUGUAUUAAAAUAUUCAUUUUCGGCAUUAAAAAAAAUUGAAAAUUUUUUUCUGAAAAAAAUCUGUUUCAUCUCCAUAAUAUUAGAAGCACCUCUGAAACAGUUUUGAGUUGAAUCUUAGCCUACAAUCAUGUUUGAUAAUUGGCAAGAUGCAUUUAGAACCCAACAACAAACUUUAGAACAAAUCCAACGACAGGUAGAACACCUCUCCAGCUUCAUGACUAGACUAGAAUUGAACAUAUCUGAGAUAGUGAGACCUAGGAGAGAGAAACUAUUAGGAUGAACCAAGACGUAGAGUCAGACCUCAAGGUAGACAAAGGGUCAAUUAGAGGGUAGUCGAGAGUAGUGAGUCAGAUAAGAUAGAAAAUGACUUAGAUGACCGACCAUUACGUAGGAACAGAGAGAGACCACCACAUAGAGAACCCCCUCAUGCUAGACGUUGGGAUGAUGGCAUUAAGAUUGAUGGAGAUUUUGAGGGGCGUUUCCAGCCAGAUGCUUUUCUUGAUUUGGUCAACAAAAUCGACCAAUAUUUUGAUUGGAAGAAAAUCCCUGAGGAUAAAGAGGUCAAAUUUGUGACCCUCAAAUUGAAGGGACACGCACUGGUUUGGUGGAAGCAACUCCAAGAACGAAGAGUUCAACAAGGUAAGGAUAAGAUCCGUACCUGGAGUAAGAUGAAGGAGAAGUUGAGGAAAUGAUUUGUCCUGUUACAUUAUCGCGAAAACCGCUACUUGAAAUUCCAAAACCUCCGACAAGGAACUAGGAUCGUGGAUGAGUACACCAAGGAGUUCUAUGAGCUCCAAGCAAGAAACAGCCUUAGUGAGGAUCCCAUUCAUGUUGCCAGUAGAUAUAUCAAUGACUUGAGACAAGACAUCCUAGACCAAGUGGAGAUGUUCGAUGUCUUGAGUAUUGAUGAUGCCCAUCGCCGUGCAUUGAGGGUAGAAGCACAACAAAGGCGAACUAGUGGCUGAAAGUGGGACUCAAACAGAAAUUCUACUACCCAUGUAAAGAGUCAGAUUGAAGAUAAGGCAAUACGUUCUCAGAACCCUACCAAGACCACAACUACCCUAAAGCCCAAUUCUAACAAGGAAUUAUAGGACAAGGGCAAAGGCGGACUGGCACCGGCACCUGAUUCUACUAUCAUUUGCUAUAAGUGUCGGUUACCCGGUCAUAAAUCCUUUGAAUGUUUCCUGAGAAAAUUUCAGUCUCAGUCUCACCUAAUUGAGCAUGGACGCUAGGACGGUUCAGAUGAACCCAAUUUAGAGAAAUGAGGGUGAGUCUGAACAUGAAGAUGAGUCGGAGAACGACAAUGUCCACAUUACAGGUGAUGCGGUGGGUCCACUCAUGGUGAUUCACCAUAUCAUGGUCGCACCUAAGCAACCUGUCUAGGACAAUUGGUUGAGACGAAGUAUUUUCUUGACUAUGGGUACUGCAGGGGGAUAUAGAUGUUCUAUCUUGAUUAUAGUGGCAGUACUGAAAACUUCGUAUCUCAACACAUGGUUGAUAAAGUAAAGAUACCUACACAAAAGAUUUAUAAACCAUAUAAGGUAUCUUGGUUUAAGGAGGGACAUGAGGUUCCAGUCACCCACAGGUGUCUAGUAGAGUUUUUCAUUAGAAAACGAUGCCAAGAUUAGGUAUGGUGUGACGUUAUGCUUAUGGAGGUGUGCUACGUGUUGUUAGGUAGGCCUUGGCAGUACGAUAAGAAGACCCAACAUGACGGAGAAAAGAAUAUAUAUUUCUUUGUGAAAGACAAAAUGAAUAUCACACACUAUCCACAAAAGGAAUUGCAUGGGUAUAACACGAAAAAUUUUGUGAAAGCUAGAGGCAAAGAACGUAUUCAAAGGGCCUUGAUUCUAAAUUUAAAAUAUUUUUGGCCUAAGAUGAGAGACGAUGUCAUUAGAUACAUGCGAAAAUGUCAACAUUGUCCGCAAGAAAAAGAAAAGGUCCAAAAUACAGGCUUGUACACCCUGUUGCCUAUCUCUAGUGACCCUUGGGAGGAUGUCACCAUGGGCUUCAUUGUAAAACUACCAAUGUCUGUUAGGAAGGUUGAUUCGAUUUUUGUUGUGGUGGACCGGUUUUCAAAAAUGUCACAUUUCAUUUCAUGUAGAAAAAUAUCUAAUGCAUCUCAUAUAACACAUUUAUGUUUUAAAGAAAUUGUUAGACUGCAUGGUAUUCUAAGAUCAUUCACAUAUGAUAGGGACACAAAAUUUACUAGUUAUUUUUGAAAAAAAUCUUUGGAGCAAAUUAGAAACGAAAUUAAACUUUAGCAAUGCUUGUCACCCUCAAAUAGAUGGUCAGAUAGAGGUAGUGAACCGUACACUUGGUAACAUGUUUAGAUGUUUGGUUAGUGAGCAUCUUACUCAGUGGGAUUUGGUUUUAGCACAGGCUGAAUUUGCAUACAUGUCUAUAAAUCGUACUACUAGUAAGUCUUCCUUUGAAAUCAUCUACGGAUUUUCUAUUUCACACAUACUUGAUCGUGCUUCCAUUUCCUAUCAUGGUCGGAUAAGUGCCGAAGCAGAGAAGAAUAUUGAGCAGGUCCGUCACAUCCAACGGAAAGUUCAUCAGCGCUUGCUUGACUUCAGUGCUAGGUAUAUAAGGAUGAUGCUGACCGUUAUCAUAGGGAGGUUCACUUUGCAGAGGGCUAUCUGGUGAUGGCCUAUUUCAGGAGAGAGAGAUUUUCAUUGGGCAGUUACAGCAAACUUAGCUGGCGAAAGUAUGGUCCAUUCCGCAUAUGUCGAAAGUUGGGGGAGAAUGCCUAUUUAUUAGAGCUUCCAGACAACGUCUAGACUUUCCCAAUUUUCAACAUCGCCGAUCUGUACCAGUUCUAUGGAGAUCCACCAGAGGCGGUUGCAGAUCCAGAUCUACCCAGCACCAGCUUAGAUUCCAGUUUUCAUGAGGAUAUUGAGGAUAUUCUUGACAUGUGAGCAGUAGACACUAGGCGUGGGCAGUACCGUAGAUUUCUUGUGCGUUGGCAAGGGAGACUUAUGUCAGACAGUUCAUGGAUCAGCGAGGACGAGUUGAGGUGCCAGAGACCUGAUUUGUUGCAGUGCAUACAGGAGGCCUACUCGUUAGGAGUCGAGUUCUUCCCAGUUGGGGGAAACUGAUGUAGUCUCAGGACUCCAUCUUAGACAUAGUUUAUGUUUUUUGUUGUUUUUGUGUUUUUCAUCCAAAGCCAUGUUUAGGCUUGAAUUUUCAGUCGAGUCGUGUACUAGUACUGCUAAGCAAAAAGGGUCCACCUAGGUAUGAUAGGAAGUCUAACCCAACUCCAAAUCACCACACUUAAUUGUUUGAGCCUUAGCCUUUCUUCAGUGCCCACGGUCAUCACUCAUCUCUAGGAAUGGAGGAGGAUGGAUGAUAGUCUUGAAAAUAGAAUUGUGCAUGUAUGGAAGGCGGGAAGCUAGAAAAGAAAAAAAAAUACGCAGAAAUUUGCUGCACAGAAAAAACACUUCACAUGAAUGGUAGCCCGACCCGUUACUGUUCAUAGAACAGUAACCCGAUCAGGUUACUAUUCAUGGAACAGUAACUCAGCCUAUAAAAGAGAUGACAGUAGCUAAAAAAAAGACGAGAAGAAGAAACCCUAGAAAGGUGAGUGCCAUUGUGGGCGAAGCCCUGAGAGACUCUUUUCCUUCCACUUUCAUCCUGCUUCUUGACCUAUUUCUUCUUGGAGCCAUCUUCUUGACCUCGUCAUCCUUCAUCUCGAUACUUUGGUAGAGUGCGGCCUGAAGAUUCUCAUUUGAUUGGAGGAACCAAACUUGCUGAGGUAAUUAUCCGACUAGUUCUAUCACCAUCUUUUGCCCAUCCCUCAGUUCUUCGACCAUCAAUCAUUAUCUCCAUCCAUCAUUAUUACCAUCGUUGUCAUCUAUCACAUCCUUGGAACCCGAGAUUACUGGCAGUAUUUAUUUUAUUGUUCUGUUGUGGUUAUUUUCAGUUUGCUGCACUAGUUAUAUUUCAUUGAUUAGACUUCAUUAAUAAGAUAUCUAUCAUGUUUUGUUUUGCAUUCACAUACCUCUAUGAUGAUUUUUUGAGAUGAUGAGUAUUUGCUGAAGUAUCUAAUCAAUCGCACUAUAAUUGAUUAUUAUGAAAUCAAUCUACACCUGUAGUAAUCGAUUAUAGGUUGCACCAAUAUUAAAGUUAUCAUCGAAUUACCAUUGAUGAUGAUUAUCAUUUAAUACUGCUUAAAUGAGAGGGUAGUAUAAAAUUAAAGCGGAAUAAAGCGCCUCUGUAUGUGGGGGAAGUAAGUGGGAGGGCAUUAAAGCAUUUGUAUGGGGGAAGUAAGUGGGAGGGCAUUAAAGCAGAAUAAAGCGCCUCUGUUACCCACACAGAACUUGACUUUGAAAUCCGUGGGCUGAAGUACAGUUCAUUGAUUUUGCUGAAGUGGGAAGCAGAUUUCCUUGCUUUGGUUUGAGUUGCAUGGAAACAUAUGCCUGGAAAUGCCCAUCAUGGAAAUGCAAUUCUAUGGCCUUGUCAGUGCUUGCAGUAUAAAAUUUUACUGCUUGGUAUUUGGUCUCCCUCUAUCUCAAGUGCAAGUGUGCGUGCGAGCGUAUGUUUACCAUGCCUAUCUAUUGUGUUGCAUGGAGUUCCUUAUUCUCUGUUUAACAAAUGCCACUUUCAUUUUUUGUCAUCUGUUUCUUACAUUAUACGCUUCUUGUGCUAUUUAACAAACACAGACAUUAUUCGGUAUUUCACAAGGGAUCUAUCCUAUAUUACUAUAUGUAUGCUUACAUGAUUAAAUUGCUUCCUAUCUAAUGCACAUAUGCAUGCUGAAAUCGUUGGGGUUGAUUUCCUAAUGCUUCUAUUUGUUAUCUGAUACUACUUGACUUGUUUUCAUUUAAUGAUAGUAAAUUUUUGAACUAAAUAUAAUAUUUCUCUUAAUUUGCAG
This 6389-nucleotide long non-coding RNA is filed under the name Phoenix dactylifera (date palm). RNAcentral's name for it is "long non-coding RNA (PDAC_LNC003944)". The record is from RNAcentral. Lineage: Eukaryota; Viridiplantae; Streptophyta; Magnoliopsida; Arecales; Arecaceae.